UUUCGGCGGCGGCAAGGUGAGGUGCGCUAUGUUCUCUUGUGUGGCGGAGCAGGCCCGGGACGUGGGUGGGAGGCUUUCAGCCAGCCGUGAUGACAUUCCAAAUAAAGCACGUGUUAGACUGCUGACGCUGGUGAUGCGAACUGUAGUCUGAGCCGGCUGUCGCGGUGGUGGGUGAGGAAGGGCGGGCGGGUUCACUCCCUCUGACCCACUGCUGUUGCUUUUGCAGGUCUGGCCUUGCGGAGGACGUCGGAUUUAAUCGUUAAUUUCAGCGCUUCCGCACUCCUUAAUCUCCAACCUUCUCAAUAAAAUGAUUUGACCCAGAGCUGGUGUGUGUGUCUGCCUCAUUGGCGACGCGUUGCCUUUGAGCCCCUGCUGCGCCUGCGCGUGGCGCCGGGGGUCAGGCUGCAGCGCCAGAGGACGUGCUCGCGCAUAACUGGGGCCGCCUGCCUCUCGCUGGCGGCCCUUUUAACCGCGAGCUACAUGGCCAUGCCCAGGAUCAGCAUCGAUGCUGCUGAAGGUGGGCAGUUUACAGGGAGGAUUCAGCUGCAGUGUCCUGGGGGAUGACGGAGAUAGCCAUAGGCCCCACUGCGUAUUUUGUGUGGAGAUGAGAACCAACUUCUUGGAUAGACCUCCUACCACAAGCACCAAGUACGUGUGCUCCAGCCUCCUGGAUGUCAAGAUCUAACUCAGGAUUCUCUCUAACCACCUGGACUUUACUUGGAUGUGUAAUUCCCACCUGCUGAGUGGGGAAAAUGGGCUCCUACCCCACCAAGAAGCUGUGAGAAUUAAUCAAGUGGUACGGUCAGAGAAUACAGGACAGAGAAUACCAGUUUGCUACAAAGGGCAGCUGUUAUCACUGGUAGAGGAGUAAUCUUUAGGGUGGAGGAGGAUUGAGAAUAAAAACAGCUCAUCCCAUAAAA
This is a long non-coding RNA of Marmota flaviventris (yellow-bellied marmot), 920 nucleotides long. RefSeq lists it as uncharacterized. Lineage: Eukaryota; Metazoa; Chordata; Mammalia; Rodentia; Sciuridae. The record is from RefSeq and is a predicted model, not a curated record.